GAAGAGGACGCACAAUUUAGAUGACGUGCAUGCAACACAUCAUCGAGUGUUCUUCAUCAACAACAUCCAUCGGGUCUUGGAUCUACAAAUUAAACGGUUGCUGCCACUGCAGCUGAUGUUGAGACAACUCUCAGUCUUCCUGCAAGUCCUCGCCUGAUACUGCCUGUUUCAGGUGCAACAGGGCAAGUCACAAUUAAAGGUUGGAUGAUCACCUUAGAGGGCCGUGUAAUCUCUGAGGGCAUCACACCAACAUUUGCAACAGGACUUGCUGCUGUGUUUGCAAUCUACUACAUAUUCAACCUUCAAUAUCAAGAUGAGGCAGCCUGCACUCUGGAAUUCAUUCAGAGGCGCUUCAUUGGUAUAAAUCCAGAGAGAGGGACCAAGGUCAAAAGGGGCAAGGUUGUCUCCAAGAAGAAAGGUGUGAUCGUCCAGAAGAAGUCUUCUGCAGUCAAUACACACGUCGCCAUGCUACUGAAGAAUCUCCUUGACUUUGAAUGGAACUUCAUAUAGAUCGUGGCAACACUGGAAUAAUGCUGCAGAGAGGAGUAGCAGCUACCAAAGUGAUGGUCAUCUCUCCUGGAUCCACAAGUACUAAGACGUAUAAACACACGCCUACCUCACAGGACUAUUUUAAG
Long non-coding RNA from Rhinichthys klamathensis goyatoka, 635 nucleotides. RefSeq lists it as uncharacterized. NCBI's taxonomy places the organism in Eukaryota, Metazoa, Chordata, Actinopteri, Cypriniformes, Leuciscidae. The transcript is spliced from 5 exons. The record is from RefSeq and is a predicted model, not a curated record.